CCAAUCACUCCUAGCUCCUCUCUCUGCUCGUCGACGCCCGGCGACACCUACGCCGUCGGCUUCGACAGUCAAUCCUCAACGCCUGUCACAACAGAGAUCCAGCACACAUCGCAUGUAGGACGGGGACAUUAGAGCUGUUUGCAAGAAGGGAUCCCCAGGCUCGGCAUCAUCGAGGACAGGACUCUCUGAACCAAAGAAAGAUGACUAUGUAAUAAUGAUUCCCAAUUCCCACAUCUUUGCCCUUAUGCUUCAAGCUCUCAAGUUGCCCCCUGCAACUUACCAUCACAAGACAUGUCCGGGCAACCAGUCCCGUGUGAUGGUUACUUUCAAUUCAUCGUUGCAGUUAGUCAAUGGUUUGCUUGUUCCAACCUCGAUAUCUGGUGUGAUCUCAAAGAACUAUGAUGAAGCAAAAGACAUUGCUGCUAUGGCAUCCAUUAUGUUUAUGGAGGAUGCAUGUGGCAAGGAAAUCAGGGAUUAUCACUACAUCCACGUUAAAAGGCUGGAAAAUAAAGUCACACACCUGGUAAGGUUGCUGUGUGCAGCAAAAAAGACAAUAAAGAAGGUACGCAGAGGAUGGUACUAUGCUGUCAGAUACAUGAGCUCGUAUUCUACCCAGAUACAGAAUACCACAGCUGCUCGGUGCCGAAGAGGGCAUGACAACACCAAAGGGGCUAUGAAAACAACACUCGCAAGCACAGGAAUUGGCAAAAAGACUACGUUAUAUUGGCAUGAAAUCGGAGCAGCGCCUAGAGACCACAGAUAGUAUCUAGUGAGCUGCGGUCAGCACAUCAUACACAGCAUGUUUACAAAGCAUUGCCUUUGCCCUUUUAAUGCUCUUCUAUAUCCUAUUAUAUUUGUAAUGGAAGGUGCCACCUGGUAGUAUGUUACUGUUCUCACUUUGCUUUGAACAAGGAAUGCACAGACUUUAUGUUUUAGUUCCUAUCUCUGUCCUAAACACUAUCCCUGAUCGUAC
Long non-coding RNA from Triticum aestivum (bread wheat), 973 nucleotides. RefSeq lists it as uncharacterized. The record is from RefSeq and is a predicted model, not a curated record. NCBI's taxonomy places the organism in Eukaryota, Viridiplantae, Streptophyta, Magnoliopsida, Poales, Poaceae. The transcript is spliced from 3 exons.